GCUUAUCACGUCCUUCAUCGGCUCCUGAUGCCAAGGCAUUCACCAUGCGCCCUUUGUAGCUUGACC
RNAcentral lists this ribosomal RNA (66 nucleotides) under Clostridium perfringens. Its description in RNAcentral is "partial 23S ribosomal RNA". The record is from RNAcentral. RNAcentral also lists the same sequence under 3 other names. Lineage: Bacteria; Bacillati; Bacillota; Clostridia; Eubacteriales; Clostridiaceae.